UACACUCCUGCGGGAGGCAGCAGGGGGGAAUUUUGGACAAUGGGCGAAAGCCUGAUCCAGCAAUGCCGCGUGAGUGAAGAAGGCCUUCGGGUUGUAAAGCUCUUUUGUCAGGGAAGAAACGGUGAAAGCUAAUAUCUUUUGCUAAUGACGGUACCUGAAGAAUAAGCACCGGCUAACUACGUGCCAGCAGCCGCGGUAAUACGUAGGGUGCAAGCGUUAAUCGGAAUUACUGGGCGUAAAGCGUGCGCAGGCGGUUUUGUAAGUCUGAUGUGAAAUCCCCGGGCUCAACCUGGGAAUUGCAUUGGAGACUGCAAGGCUAGAAUCUGGCAGAGGGGGGUAGAAGUCCACGUGUAGCAGUGAAAUGCGUAGAUAUGUGGAGGAACACCGCUGGCGAAGGCAGCCCCCUGGGUCAAGAUUGACGCUCAUGCACGAAAGCGUGGGGAGCAAACAGGAUUAGAAACCCCAGUAGUCCCAUGAU
RNAcentral lists this ribosomal RNA (478 nucleotides) under uncultured organism. Its description in RNAcentral is "partial 16S ribosomal RNA". It matches the Rfam family "Bacterial small subunit ribosomal RNA", at positions 332 to 801 of the family's 1533-position model. The record is from RNAcentral.